RNAcentral lists this ribosomal RNA (497 nucleotides) under uncultured bacterium. Its description in RNAcentral is "partial 16S ribosomal RNA". It matches the Rfam family "Bacterial small subunit ribosomal RNA", at positions 28 to 507 of the family's 1533-position model. The record is from RNAcentral.
GACGAACGCUGGCGGCGUGCCUAACACAUGCAAGUCGAGCGAACAGACGAGGCGUUUGCUCCUCUCUCGUUUGCGGCGGACGGGAGAGACACACGUGGAUCACCCCCCUAUCUGUCUGGUAUCUUCUCGGAAAUCCGGCUCUUAUACCGUAUAAUCUAUUGCUCCGCAUGGUUCAAUAGUGAGUGACGGCUUUGCUGUCUCUUAUCGCUGCUUACGCGCUGCAUUAGCUAGUUGGUAAGGUCAAGGCUUAUCAAGGCAAGGAUGCGUAGACGAACUGCCAGAGUGAUAGGCCGCACUAGAAGUGAGACACGGACAAGACGCCUACGAGAGGCAGCAGUAGGGAAUCUUACGCAAUGGGCGAAAGCAUGACGGAGCAACGCCGCGUGAGUGAUGAAGGUCUUCGGAUCGUAAAAAUCUGUUAUUAGGGAAGAACAAAUGUGUAAGGAACUAUACACGUAUUGACGGUACCGGGUCAGGAAGCAACGGCUAACUACGUG